ACUCCUACGGGAGGCAGCAGUGGGGAAUAUUGCGCAAUGGGCGAAAGCCUGACGCAGCGACGCCGCGUGUGGGAUGACGGCCUUCGGGUUGUAAACCACUGUCGGGAGGGACGAAGCUCUGACGGUACCUCCAAAGGAAGCACCGGCUAACUCUGUGCCAGCAGCCGCGGUAAU
This 174-nucleotide ribosomal RNA is filed under the name uncultured bacterium. Its description in RNAcentral is "partial 16S ribosomal RNA". It matches the Rfam family "Bacterial small subunit ribosomal RNA", at positions 335 to 524 of the family's 1533-position model. The record is from RNAcentral.